AGUGAACGCUGGCGGUAGGCCUAACACAUGCAAGUCGAACGGCAGCACAGCAAGAGCUUGCUCUUACGGGUGGCGAGUGGCGGACGGGUGAGGAAUACAUCGGAAUCUACUUUUUCGUGGGGGAUAACGUAGGGAAACUUACGCUAAUACCGCAUACGACCUACGGGUGAAAGCAGGGGAUCUUCGGACCUUGCGCGAUUGAAUGAGCCGAUGUCGGAUUAGCUAGUUGGCGGGGUAAAGGCCCACCAAGGCGACGAUCCGUAGCUGGUCUGAGAGGAUGAUCAGCCACACUGGAACUGAGACACGGUCCAGACUCCUACGGGAGGCAGCAGUGGGGAAUAUUGGACAAUGGGUGCAAGCCUGAUCCAGCCAUACCGCGUGGGUGAAGAAGGCCUUCGGGUUGUAAAGCCCUUUUGUUGGGAAAGAAAAGCAGCAGGUUAAUACCCCGCUGUUCUGACGGUACCCAAAGAAUAAGCACCGGCUAACUUCGUG
RNAcentral lists this ribosomal RNA (492 nucleotides) under uncultured bacterium. Its description in RNAcentral is "partial 16S ribosomal RNA". It matches the Rfam family "Bacterial small subunit ribosomal RNA", at positions 29 to 507 of the family's 1533-position model. The record is from RNAcentral.